Molecule: ribosomal RNA, 306 nt
Filed under: uncultured bacterium
Lineage: Bacteria
Description: bacterial SSU rRNA
Rfam family: Bacterial small subunit ribosomal RNA
Source: RNAcentral
GACGAACGCUGGCGGCGUGCUUAACACAUGCAAGUCGAGCGGUAAGGCCCUUCGGGGUACACGAGCGGCGAACGGGUGAGUAACACGUGGGUGACCUGCCUCUAGCUCUGGGAUAAGCCUGGGAAACUGGGUCUAAUACCGGAUAUGACUCCACGGCGCAUGUUGUGGGGUGGAAAGCCUUGUGUGGCUAGAGAUGGGCCCGCGGCCUAUCAGCUUGUUGGUGGGGUNANGGCCUACCAAGGCGACGACGGGUAGCCGGCCUGAGAGGGCGACCGGCCACACUGGGACUGAGACACGGCCCAGACU